Molecule: small nucleolar RNA, 132 nt
Filed under: Peromyscus maniculatus bairdii (prairie deer mouse)
Lineage: Eukaryota; Metazoa; Chordata; Mammalia; Rodentia; Cricetidae
Description: Small nucleolar RNA SNORA69 (ENSPEMG00000004852.2)
Rfam family: Small nucleolar RNA SNORA69
About the family: U69 is a member of the H/ACA class of small nucleolar RNAs (snoRNAs) which act as guides in the the modification of uridines to pseudouridines.
Source: Rfam by way of RNAcentral
AAAGCAGGUCGCAAUUACAGUGCUUCAUUUUGUGGGAGUACUGCCAUUAUCCUGCUGAAAGAAAAGCCAUGUUGAUCGUUUCUGAUUUUGCCUUCCUGGGGGUAAAAUCAUGACACUUUGACACGGACAGCA